This is a non-coding RNA of Physcomitrium patens, 353 nucleotides long. Lineage: Eukaryota; Viridiplantae; Streptophyta; Bryopsida; Funariales; Funariaceae. The record is from RefSeq and is a predicted model, not a curated record.
AAACAAGAUGUGUGAAAUACUUUAGUUUCAAAAUGUAAACCAGGUAUCACAUAAACGUAUUCAGAAAGGAAACGUCCUACAAAGAUGUUACAAAGCUACAAAAUCGUAAAACAAAAACUCUGCAGCUGUUUAUUAGGGUUUCUGUGGGAGUGUGCACAUCACACUUGUCUUUCAGAAUUUGAAUCGAAGUUGCUGCAUUGGCAUUGGAAAUUCCGUCGAAUUCUCGUGAAAUUUGGUUUCCAAGGCCUCAAAUCAUUGUAGUGGAUGCCUUCCAGCUCAUGGAAACUAGACAACAGGUAUGGUACGACAAUAGAUCUUCAGUGUACCUUACAGCUUAGACCUUCGGAAGGCGG